RNAcentral lists this ribosomal RNA (253 nucleotides) under uncultured bacterium. RNAcentral describes it as "partial 16S ribosomal RNA". It matches the Rfam family "Bacterial small subunit ribosomal RNA", at positions 524 to 776 of the family's 1533-position model. The record is from RNAcentral.
UACGUAGGGUGCAAGCGUUGUCCGGAAUUAUUGGGCGUAAAGAGCUCGUAGGCGGUCUGUCGCGUCUGCUGUGAAAACUUGGGGCUCAACCCCAAGCUUGCGGUCGAUACGGGCAGGCUCGAGUUCGGUAGGGGAGACUGGAAUUCCUGGUGUAGCGGUGAAAUGCGCAGAUAUCAGGAGGAACACCGGUGGCGAAGGCGGGUCUCUGGGCCGAUACUGACGCUGAGGAGCGAAAGCGUGGGGAGCGAACAGG